This 450-nucleotide ribosomal RNA is filed under the name uncultured bacterium. Its description in RNAcentral is "bacterial SSU rRNA". It matches the Rfam family "Bacterial small subunit ribosomal RNA", at positions 354 to 796 of the family's 1533-position model. The record is from RNAcentral.
GUGGGGAAUUUUGGACAAUGGGCGCAAGCCUGAUCCAGCCAUGCCGCGUGCAGGAUGAAGGCCUUCGGGUUGUAAACUGCUUUUGUACGGAACGAAAAGACUCUGGUUAAUACCUGGGGUCCAUGACGGUACCGUAAGAAUAAGCACCGGCUAACUACGUGCCAGCAGCCGCGGUAAUACGUAGGGUGCGAGCGUUAAUCGGAAUUACUGGGCGUAAAGCGUGCGCAGGCGGUUAUAUAAGACAGAUGUGAAAUCCCCGGGCUCAACCUGGGAACUGCAUUUGUGACUGUAUAGCUAGAGUACGGCAGAGGGGGAUGGAAUUCCGCGUGUAGCAGUGAAAUGCGUAGAUAUGCGGAGGAACACCGAUGGCGAAGGCAAUCCCCUGGGCCUGUACUGACGCUCAUGCACGAAAGCGUGGGGAGCAAACAGGAUUAGAUACCCGUGUAGUCC